UACGUAGGUGGCAAGCGUUGUCCGGAUUUACUGGGCGUAAAGAGCGCGCAGGCGGUCGGAUAAGUCGAAUGUGAAAGCCCCCGGCUCAACUGGGGAGGGUCAUUCGAUACUGUUCGACUCGAAGGCAGGAGAGGGAAGUGGAAUUCCCGGUGUAGUGGUGGAAUGCGUAGAUAUCGGGAGGAACAUCAGUGGCGAAGGCGGCACCCUGGCAUUAGCCUGACGCUCAUGUGCGAAAGCGUGGGGAGCGAACGGG
Molecule: ribosomal RNA, 253 nt
Filed under: uncultured bacterium
Lineage: Bacteria
Description: partial 16S ribosomal RNA
Rfam family: Bacterial small subunit ribosomal RNA
Source: RNAcentral